RNAcentral lists this ribosomal RNA (657 nucleotides) under uncultured bacterium. Its description in RNAcentral is "bacterial SSU rRNA". It matches the Rfam family "Bacterial small subunit ribosomal RNA", at positions 37 to 699 of the family's 1533-position model. The record is from RNAcentral.
UGGCGGCGUGCCUAACACAUGCAAGUCGAGCGAAGUUUAUUAAAGGAAGUUUUCGGAUGGAAUUUAAUAAACUUAGCGGCGGACGGGUGAGUAACGCGUGUGCAACCUGCCCUGUACAGAGGGACAACAACGGGAAACCGUUGCUAAUACCUCAUAAAACCCUAAAGGGGCAUCCCUUAUGGGUCAAAGAAUUUCGGUACAGGAUGGGCCCGCGUCUGAUUAGCUAGUUGGAGAGGUAAUGGCUCACCAAGGCGACGAUCAGUAGCCGACCUGAGAGGGUGAUCGGCCACACUGGAACUGAGACACGGUCCAGACUCCUACGGGAGGCAGCAGUGGGGAAUAUUGCACAAUGGGGGAAACCCUGAUGCAGCAACGCCGCGUGAGCGAUGAAGGCCUUCGGGUCGUAAAGCUCUGUCCUAAGGGAAGAAAUUUGACGGUACCUUAGGAGGAAGCCCCGGCUAACUACGUGCCAGCAGCCGCGGUAAUACGUAGGGGGCAAGCGUUAUCCGGAAUCACUGGGCGUAAGGGUGCGUAGGCGGUCUUACAAGUCAGGGGUGAAAGGCUACGGCUCAACCGUAGUAAGCUUUUGAAACUGUAGGACUUGAGUGCGGAGAGGAAAUGGAAUUCCUAGUGUAGCGGUGAAAUGCGUAAAUUUUA